This 330-nucleotide ribosomal RNA is filed under the name uncultured bacterium. Its description in RNAcentral is "bacterial SSU rRNA". It matches the Rfam family "Bacterial small subunit ribosomal RNA", at positions 568 to 898 of the family's 1533-position model. The record is from RNAcentral.
UCCGUAGGCGGUGUGGUAAGUCGAUAGUGAAAUCUCUGGGCUUAACCCAGAGGCUGCUAACGAAACUGCCAUGCUCGAGUGUGAGAGAGGCGAGUGGAAUUACGGGUGUAGCGGUGAAAUGCGUAGAUAUCCGUAGGAACAUCCGAGGCGAAAGCGGCUCGCUGGGUCACAACUGACGCUGAGGGACGAAAGCUAGGGGAGCAAACAGGAUUAGAUACCCUGGUAGUCCUAGCCCUAAACCAUCAGGACUUGGGGUUUGCCCUGUACGGGGCAAGUCCCGUAGCUAACGCGUUAAGUCCUGCGCCUGGGGAGUACGGUCGCAAGGCUGAA